Molecule: ribosomal RNA, 451 nt
Filed under: uncultured bacterium
Lineage: Bacteria
Description: bacterial SSU rRNA
Rfam family: Bacterial small subunit ribosomal RNA
Source: RNAcentral
GAUGAACGCUAGCGGCAGGCCUAACACAUGCAAGUCGAGGGAGAAGCCCUUUCGGGGGCAGAAACCGGCGCACGGGUGCGUAACGCGUAUGCAACCUACCUUUCAUAGGGGGAUAGCCCGAAGAAAUUUGGAUUAAUACCCCAUAAUAUUGUUGGAUGGCAUCAUCUGGCAAUUAAAGCUACGACGGUGGAAGAUGGGCAUGCGUCCUAUUAGCUAGUUGGAGUGGUAACGGCACCCCAAGGCUACGAUAGGUAGGGGUCCUGAGAGGGAGAUCCCCCACACUGGUACUGAGACAGGGACCAGACUCCUACGGGAGGCAGCAGUGAGGAAUAUUGGUCAAUGGUCGGAAGACUGAACCAGCCAUGCCGCGUGCAGGAAGAAUGCCUUAUGGGUUGUAAACUGCUUUUAUAUGGGAAGAAUAAGGCGUACGUGUACGUNGANGACGGUNCCA